Molecule: ribosomal RNA, 500 nt
Filed under: uncultured bacterium
Lineage: Bacteria
Description: partial 16S ribosomal RNA
Rfam family: Bacterial small subunit ribosomal RNA
Source: RNAcentral
AUUGAACGCUAGCGGGAUGCCUUACACAUGCAAGUCGAACGGCAGCACGGACUUCGGUCUGGUGGCGAGUGGCGAACGGGUGAGUAAAGUAUCGGAACGUGCCCAGUAGAGGGGGAUAACUACGCGACAGCGUAGCUAAUACCGCAUACGCCCUGAGGGGGAAAGCGGGGGAUCGCAAGCCCUCGCGUUAUUGGAGCGGCCGAUAUCGGAUUAGCGAGUGGGUAGGGUAAAGGCCUACCAAGGCGACGAUCCGUAGCUGGUUUGAGAGGACGACCAGCCACACUGGGACUGAGACACGGCCCAGACUCCUACGGGAGGCAGCAGUGGGGAAUUUAGGACAAUGGGGGCAACCCUGAUCCAGCCAUUUCGCGUGUGCGAUGAAGGCCUUCGGGUUGUAAAGCACUUUUGGCAGGGAAGAAAAGGUUUGGGCUAAUACCCUGAGCCGCUGACGGUACCUGCAGAAUAAGCACCGGCUAACUACGUGCCAGCCGCCGCCGUAA